Molecule: transfer RNA, 71 nt
Filed under: Loxodonta africana (African savanna elephant)
Lineage: Eukaryota; Metazoa; Chordata; Mammalia; Proboscidea; Elephantidae
Rfam family: tRNA
About the family: Transfer RNA (tRNA) molecules are approximately 80 nucleotides in length. Their secondary structure includes four short double-helical elements and three loops (D, anti-codon, and T loops). Further hydrogen bonds mediate the characteristic L-shaped molecular structure. tRNAs have two regions of fundamental functional importance: the anti-codon, which is responsible for specific mRNA codon recognition, and the 3' end, to which the tRNAs corresponding amino acid is attached (by aminoacyl-tRNA synthetases). tRNAs cope with the degeneracy of the genetic code in two manners: having more than one tRNA (with a specific anti-codon) for a particular amino acid; and 'wobble' base-pairing, i.e. permitting non-standard base-pairing at the 3rd anti-codon position.
Source: Rfam by way of RNAcentral
GCAGUGGCAGUUCAGUGGUAGAAUUCUCGCCUCCCAUGAGGGAGACCGGGGUUCAAUUCCUGGCCAAUGCG